Molecule: ribosomal RNA, 487 nt
Filed under: uncultured bacterium
Lineage: Bacteria
Description: bacterial SSU rRNA
Rfam family: Bacterial small subunit ribosomal RNA
Source: RNAcentral
GACGACGCUGGCGGCGUGGAUUAGGCAUGCAAGUCGAACGGUAGGAUACCUUCGGGUAUCUGAGAGUGGCGAACGGGUGAGUAACACGUAGGUGAUCUACCCUCAAGAUUGGGACAACCCAGGGAAACUUGGGCUAAUACCGGAUGAAAGCAGCAGUGAUGUUGUUUGAAAGGUGGCGUAAGCUGCCGUUUGGGGAUGAGCCUGCGCUCUAUUAGUUAGUUGGCGGGGUAAAGGCCCACCAAGGCGAUGAUAGAUAGGCGGCCUUAACGGGUGGUCGCCCACACUGGGAUUGAGAUACGGCCCAGACUCCUACGGGAGGCAGCAGUCGAGAAUAGUCUACAAUGGCCGAAAGGCUGAUAGUGCGACGCCGCGUGAACGAAGAAGCCCUUCGGGGUGUAAAGUUCUUUUAUAUGUGAGCAGUGCUUCUUAUAUUAACAGUAUGGGGAGAGAGAUAUUAGCAUAUGAAUAAGCAACGGCUAACUCCGUG